This 459-nucleotide ribosomal RNA is filed under the name uncultured bacterium. Its description in RNAcentral is "partial 16S ribosomal RNA". It matches the Rfam family "Bacterial small subunit ribosomal RNA", at positions 339 to 795 of the family's 1533-position model. The record is from RNAcentral.
CUACGGGCUGCUCCAGUAAGGAAUAUUGCGCAAUGGAGGCAACUCUGACGCAGCCAUGCCGCGUGCAGGAAGAAGGCCUUAUGGGUCGUAAACUGCUUUUAUUUAGGAAUAAACCCCCGAACGUGUUCGGGGCUGAAGGUACUAAACGAAUAAGCACCGGCUAACUCCGUGCCAGCAGCCGCGGUAAUACGGAGGGGGCAAGCGUUAUCCGGAUUUAUUGGGUUUAAAGGGUGGGCAGGCGGGCUAUUAAGUCAGUGGUGAAAUCCCGGGGCUCAACUCCGGAACUGCCAUUGAUACUGAUAGUCUUGAGUUUGGUUGAAGUGGGCGGAAUGUAGCAUGUAGCGGUGAAAUGCAUAGAUAUGCUACAGAACACCAAUCGCGAAGGCAGCUCACUAAGCCAAAACUGACGCUCAUGCACGAAAGCGUGGGGAUCAAACAGGAUUAGAUACCCUGGUAGUC